AGAGAGAGAGAGAGAGAGAGAAUGAGGUUCUUUUCAUCCAUCUGUUGCUGCUUCUAUUGCCUUUCCCAUGUAUCUGAUGAUGAAGUAAGGAUGCAGAGGCAGCCUCUCAGGGCAAAACUCAGUGAAUCAGCAGCUCAAACACCGAUUCUGGUUCCAUACUUGCCUGCUAAAUCCAGUCUCUCUUGUUUAUAGGCAGUCAUCUGUGUUAAGAAAGCCUGAAAACGAUGCAUCUGCCAAUAUGUUUGCUUCUAUGUACCUGCUUACUUAAAAACUAAUACAAUCCAAAGUCAUCAAUAUUCUAUUCUCUCAUGCUAUUUUAGCUUGGAUUGUGAUGAUUUCAAUUUCCUUCCUCACCCAUAUCAUUUUGUGAGAAGUGAUUUUCACUUCUUCUUGCAGUUAAUGACCAGAUCUAACAA
This 416-nucleotide unclassified non-coding RNA is filed under the name Hevea brasiliensis (rubber tree). The record is from RNAcentral. Lineage: Eukaryota; Viridiplantae; Streptophyta; Magnoliopsida; Malpighiales; Euphorbiaceae.